UACGAAGGGGGCUAGCGUUGCUCGGAAUCACUGGGCGUAAAGGGUGCGUAGGCGGGUCUUUAAGUCAGGGGUGAAAUCCUGGAGCUCAACUCCAGAACUGCCUUUGAUACUGAGGAUCUUGAGUACGGGAGAGGUGAGUGGAACUGCGAGUGUAGAGGUGAAAUUCGUAGAUAUUCGCAAGAACACCAGUGGCGAAGGCGGCUCACUGGCUCGGUACUGACGCUGAGGUGCGAAAGCGUGGGGAGCGAACAGG
This 253-nucleotide ribosomal RNA is filed under the name uncultured bacterium. RNAcentral describes it as "partial 16S ribosomal RNA". It matches the Rfam family "Bacterial small subunit ribosomal RNA", at positions 524 to 776 of the family's 1533-position model. The record is from RNAcentral.